UACGUAGGAUGCAAGCGUUGUCCGGAUUUACUGGGCGUAAAGCGCGCGCAGGCGGCACAUUAAGUCAGGUGUGAAAUAUCCCGGCUCAACCGGGAGGGUGCACUUUAGACUGAUGAGCUUGAGGUCGGUAGAGGGGGGUGGAAUUGCUGGUGUAGCGGUGAAAUGCGUAGAGAUCAGCAGGAACACCCGUGGCGAAGGCGGCCCCCUGGGCCGUACCUGACGCUGAGGCGCGAAGGCUAGGGGAACGAACGGG
RNAcentral lists this ribosomal RNA (253 nucleotides) under uncultured bacterium. Its description in RNAcentral is "partial 16S ribosomal RNA". It matches the Rfam family "Bacterial small subunit ribosomal RNA", at positions 524 to 776 of the family's 1533-position model. The record is from RNAcentral.